GACGAACGCUGGCGGCGUGCCUAAUACAUGCAAGUCGAACGCUGAAGGAGGAGCUUGCUCUUCUGGAUGAGUUGCGAACGGGUGAGUAACGCGUAGGUAACCUGCCUGGUAGCGGGGGAUAACUAUUGGAAACGAUAGCUAAUACCGCAUAACAGUAGAUGUUGCAUGACAUUUGCUUAAAAGGUGCAAUUGCACCACUACCAGAUGGACCUGCGUUGUAUUAGCUAGUUGGUGGGGUAACGGCUCACCAAGGCGACGAUACAUAGCCGACCUGAGAGGGGGAUCGGCCACACUGGGACUGGGACACGGCCCAGACUCCUACGGGAGGCAGCAGGAGGGAAUCUUCGGCAAUGGACGGAAGUCUGACCGAGCAACGCCGCGGGAGUGAAGAAGGUUUUCGGAUCGUAAAGCUCUGUUGUAAGAGAAGAACGAGUGUGAGAGUGGAAAGUUCACACUGUGACGGUAGCUUACCAGAAAGGGACGGCUAACUACGUG
This 495-nucleotide ribosomal RNA is filed under the name uncultured bacterium. Its description in RNAcentral is "partial 16S ribosomal RNA". It matches the Rfam family "Bacterial small subunit ribosomal RNA", at positions 28 to 507 of the family's 1533-position model. The record is from RNAcentral.